Molecule: ribosomal RNA, 385 nt
Filed under: uncultured bacterium
Lineage: Bacteria
Description: bacterial SSU rRNA
Rfam family: Bacterial small subunit ribosomal RNA
Source: RNAcentral
AUUGAACGCUGGCGGCAUGCCUUACACAUGCAAGUCGAACGGCAGCGGACCUUCGGGUGCCGGCGAGUGGCGAACGGGUGAGUAAUAUAUCGGAACGUACCUUUCAGUGGGGGAUAACGUAGCGAAAGUUACGCUAAUACCGCAUAUUCUGUGAGCAGGAAAGCAGGGGAUCGCAAGACCUUGCGCUGAUUGAGCGGCCGAUAUCAGAUUAGCUAGUUGGUGAGGUAAAGGCUCACCAAGGCGACGAUCUGUAGCGGGUCUGAGAGGAUGAUCCGCCACACUGGAACUGAGACACGGUCCAGACUCCGUACGGGAGGCAGCAGUGGGGAAUUUUGGACAAUGGGCGCAAGCCUGAUCCAGCCAUGCCGCGUGAGUGAAGAAGGCC